Daphnia magna is the source of this 1172-nucleotide long non-coding RNA. RefSeq lists it as uncharacterized. The record is from RefSeq and is a predicted model, not a curated record. The transcript has 6 exons. NCBI's taxonomy places the organism in Eukaryota, Metazoa, Arthropoda, Branchiopoda, Diplostraca, Daphniidae.
UGGCAUGGUCAGUAGUCAACGUUAACACAGCUUAGUGCUGUGUGACUUCAAGUUGAGUGUCAAACUGGCCCGCACUAAAAAUGUAAACCUAAACUUGUUUUUACGACCCCCAGCUUACCUACUCUUGCCCUCUGAGGCUAUUGAAGAUGCACUGAACAACAUCCUUAAGAAAAUUCCUGUGACUCAUCAACAGACUUGUGCUACAUAUUUUUUUAGAAUUGCCCAACAGAUUACCAGCAAACAUAAAGAUGAUGAAUAUUAUCUUAGAUGGGAUCCUGAUACAGCAGGAAUCAUUCAUCCUAGAAACAUCAUUCAGAUUGUAGAGCUGUAUCUGCAAGCUUUGUUACAGUUAUCCACCACGUUAGAGUGUUCGCAUUUAAUGGUGCAGAAUGGUCUUCUUCUCAUUUUGUGGCGCAUUGCGAAUAUGUUCGACAAAGAAGUAGUUCUCACAACAUUGUGUGCUAACAUAGUUGCCUGUGCAAUUGCACAGGCAAGGAUAGACUGCGUACAGCAUUUUCAGGAUGAGGACUAAUUUUUUUUAUUUGCAGGAUCAGUAGCUUUAUUGGUGGUUCAGUGAUAGGGAGUUCCAUUGCUAGCUGGAAGUCCAUACUCAGUGGUGGAUGUUGCAUCUUUGCAAUCCACCUAAUCCUGCACUUCCGCUGGAACCUGAUGAACAAUCACCUUUGAUAGGGAAGAAGGCAGCUUAACAAAAAGAACGCAGCACUGAUUGCUGCAUAGCUCAAGCAUGUGACUUCAAGUUGAGUGUCAAACUGGCCCGCACUAAAAAUGUAAACCUAAACUUGUUUUUACGACCCCCAGCUUACCUACUCUUGCCCUCUGAGGCUAUUGAAGAUGCACUGAACAACAUCCUUAAGAAAAUUCCUGUGACUCAUCAACAGACUUGUGCUACAUAUUUUUUUAGAAUUGCCCAACAGAUUACCAGCAAACAUAAAGAUGAUGAAUAUUAUCUUAGAUGGGAUCCUGAUACAGCAGGAAUCAUUCAUUCUAGAAACAUCAUUCAGAUUGUAGAGCUGUAUCUGCAAGCUUUGUUAUAGUUAUCCACCACGUUAGAGUGUUCGCAUUUAAUGGUGCAGAAUGGUCUUCUUCUCAUUUUGUGGCGCAUUGCGAAUAUGUUCGACAAAGAAGUAGUUCUCACAACAUUGUGUGCUAAC